GACGAACGCUGGCGGCGUGCUUAACACAUGCAAGUCGAGCGGUAAGGCCCUUUCGGGGGUACGACGAGCGGCGAACGGGUGAGUAACACGUGGGUGACCUGCCCUUAGCUCUGGGAUAAGCCUGGGAAACUGGGUCUAAUACCGGAUAUGACCCUAUGGCGCAUGUUGUGGGGUGGAAAGCCUUGUGCGGCUAGGGAUGGGCCCGCGGCCUAUCAGCUUGUUGGUGGGGUGAUGGCCUACCAAGGCGACGACGGGUAGCCGGCCUGAGAGGGCGACCGGCCACACUGGGACUGAGACACGGCCCAGACUCCUACGGGAGGCAGCAGUGGGGAAUCUUGCGCAAUGGGCGAAAGCCUGACGCAGCGACGCCGCGUGAGGGAUGACGGCCUCGGUUGUAA
Molecule: ribosomal RNA, 398 nt
Filed under: uncultured bacterium
Lineage: Bacteria
Description: bacterial SSU rRNA
Rfam family: Bacterial small subunit ribosomal RNA
Source: RNAcentral